GACGAACGCUGGCGGCGUGCUUAACACAUGCAAGUCGAACGGAAAGGCCCUGCUUUUGUGGGGUGCUCGAGUGGCGAACGGGUGAGUAACACGUGAGUAACCUGCCCUUGACUUUGGGAUAACUUCAGGAAACUGGGGCCAAUACCGGAUAGGAGCUCCUGCUGCAUGGUGGGGGUUGGAAAGUUUCGGCGGUUGGGGAUGGACUCGCGGCUUAUCAGCUUGUUGGUGGGGUAGUGGCUUACCAAGGCUUUGACGGGUAGCCGGCCUGAGAGGGUGACCGGCCACAUUGGGACUGAGAUACGGCCCAGACUCCUACGGGAGGCAGCAGUGGGAAUAUUGCACAAUGGGCGGAAGCCUGAUGCAGCAACGCCGCGUGCGGGAUGACGGCCUUCGGGUUGUAAACCGCUUUCGCCUGUGACGAAGCGUGAGUGACGGUAAUGGGUAAAGAAGCACCGGCUAACUACGUGCCAGCAGCCGCGGUGAUACGUAGGGUGCGAGCGUUGUCCGGAUUUAUUGGGCGUAAAGGGCUCGUAGGUGGUUGAUCGCGUCGGAAGUGUAAUCUUGGGGCUUAACCCUGAGCGUGCUUUCGAUACGGGUUGACUUGAGGAAGGUAGGGGAGAAUGGAAUUCCUGGUGGAGCGGUGGAAUGCGCAGAUAUCAGGAGGAACACCAGUGGCGAAGGCGGUUCUCUGGGCCUUUCCUGACGCUGAGGAGCGAAAGCGUGGGGAGCGAACAGGCUUAGAUACCCUGGUAGUCCACGCUGUAAACGGUGGGUACUAGGUGUGGGGUCCAUUCCACGGGUUCCGUGCCGUAGCUAACGCUUUAAGUACCCCGCCUGGGGAGUACGGCCGCAAGGCUAAAACUCAAAGGAAUUGACGGGGCCCCGCACAAGCGGCGGAGCAUGCGGAUUAAUUCGAUGCAACGCGUAGAACCUUACCUGGGUUUGACAUGGAUCGGGAGUGCUCAGAGAUGGGUGUGCCUCUUUUGGGGUCGGUUCACAGGUGGUGCAUGCCUGUCGUCAGCUCGUGUCGUGAGAUGUUGGGUUAAGUCCCGCAACGAGCGCAACCCUUGUUCACUGUUGCCAGCACGUUAUGGUGGGGACUCAGUGGAGACCGCCGGGGUCAACUCGGAGGAAGGUGGGGAUGACGUCAAGUCCUCAUGCCCCUUAUGUCCAGGGCUUCACGCAUGCUACAAUGGCUGGUACAGAGAGUGGCGAGCCUGUGAGGGUGAGCGAAUCUCGGAAAGCCGGUCUCAGUUCGGAUUGGGGUCUGCAACUCGACCUCAUGAAGUCGGAGUCGCUAGUAAUCGCAGAUCAGCAACGCUGCGGUGAAUACGUUCCCGGGGCU
This 1345-nucleotide ribosomal RNA is filed under the name uncultured bacterium. RNAcentral describes it as "bacterial SSU rRNA". It matches the Rfam family "Bacterial small subunit ribosomal RNA", at positions 28 to 1381 of the family's 1533-position model. The record is from RNAcentral.